RNAcentral lists this long non-coding RNA (1373 nucleotides) under Salmo salar (Atlantic salmon). RNAcentral describes it as "lncRNA (ENSSSAG00000105026.1)". Lineage: Eukaryota; Metazoa; Chordata; Actinopteri; Salmoniformes; Salmonidae. The record is from RNAcentral.
UAGUCAUGUAAACACCGUACUCUGUUUAUCUUAAUCGGCGUCAGGUCAAAAUCAAAGUGAAUAUACGCCUAUUAAAAUAUCUGGUUUUCUGAGCAAUCUUUCGAACACCUUAAUCGGUGUUCCUGCUGUGUAUAUGAUCUGCGCAUGUGCUAGCACCAGCCGAUCGAACCUCCCUCUUUAACAGAUUUUUGUAGUUCGUUCCAGUCAUUGGCAGCAGAGAACUGGAAGGAGAGGCGACCAAAGGAGGAAUUGGCUUUGGGGGUGACCAGAGAGAUAUACCUGCUGGAGCGUGUGCUACAGACAAGAGCCAAGACUGCCUGUGAAUGUACUGUUCGGAUGUGAGAGGAACCUGUCUGACAUCUCCUCAAAGUCCCCAUCACAGUGUGCCUCCUCUGUACAAUCCAGACGACUCCCAGUUACAGCUAGCUCGGACAGAACUGAAGGAGCAAUACGACAUGGGGACAGUUUUCAAACCAUUUGAAGAUGGUGAUCUGGUUUUCAUGAAAGAUAUAUCCAAGCUGCACUGUAAACUAGCCCCACAUUGGAAGGGCCCAUGCAAAAUCCUUCAUUGGUUUGACACAGAUGGACAGCCUGGUGUCACAUAUAGGGUACUGGACUUGAAAUCACCUCAAAUUACCCCAAAAGAUAUCCAUCACAAUAGAUUGAAACAACUCUAUGGUGACAUUGCAGAGCAUCUCACACCUCCCGUAGGCAGCCACAAGAGUCAGCAAGGUUCUGUACCUUCCCAUACCCCCCACUCACUGCCCUCUCAGGAGCAUUACCAUUCCGUUACCCACUAUCUCAUGUACAUCGUUUGAGACAGGCAACCCCACUGUUAGCUACUCAUGUGAGAGUUCAAGCACUCCCCCAGGGUUCCCCCAGGGCACCGGACCUUGCCCCUGUGUCCCCUGAAACUCCUGCCCGUUCCCCUUUGCAUCAGGCUGCAACGCUUGUGGAUAUUGCUCAGGACAGUCUGUGCAGAGCCACUGUUGCUGCACCUUACACGACCCGUAGGGGCCGGAAUAUACCGAAGCCCCGAGGGCUCAUAGACUAUGACUGCUUAAUGACAAAAGGGGGGGAAAUGAAAUAAAAAUAAAACUACCUACGGUAAAAUAUAAAUAUAUCUCCCUGUCUGGUCACAAAAAAAGGGAAAGGGGUGUGAAAAACAUCUCUAUUCUGUUGGUCUGAAUUAUCUGAAAGUGUUCUGUUUUGACAUAUUCUAGUCACAGUCUGGUGACAAUGUGGAUUACUCUCAUGUUUUAUCCUCUAACAACUAACUGUGCUAAGGUAACAUGUUCUUCUCAUGCUUUACGGUCUUUUUACUUCUACAUUUAUAAGUAACUGUAAAACGGGGAUGUUUCUUUUUUGAGCAG